Molecule: ribosomal RNA, 2062 nt
Filed under: Romeriopsis marina LEGE 06013
Lineage: Bacteria; Bacillati; Cyanobacteriota; Cyanophyceae; Leptolyngbyales; Leptolyngbyaceae
Description: bacterial SSU rRNA
Rfam family: Bacterial small subunit ribosomal RNA (bases 1-1430)
Source: RNAcentral
UGCAAGUCGGACGGACUCUUCGGAGUUAGUGGCGGACGGGUGAGUAACGCGUGAGAAUCUGCCUACAGAUUGGGGACAACGUCGGGAAACUGACGCUAAUACCGAAUGUGCCGAGAGGUGAAAGAUUUAUCGUCUGUAGAUGAGCUCGCGUCUGAUUAGCUAGUUGGGGCGGUAACGGCGCACCAAGGCGACGAUCAGUAACUGGUCUGAGAGGAUGACCAGUCACACUGGGACUGAGACACGGCCCAGACUCCUACGGGAGGCAGCAGUGGGGAAUUUUCCGCAAUGGGCGAAAGCCUGACGGAGCAAUACCGCGUGCGGGAGGACGCUUUUUGGGGUGUAAACCGCUUUUCUCAAGGAAGAUGAUGACGGUACUUGAGGAAUCAGCAUCGGCUAACUUCGUGCCAGCAGCCGCGGUAAUACGAGGGAUGCAAGCGUUAUCCGGAAUUAUUGGGCGUAAAGCGUUCGUAGGUGGCAAAUUAAGUCUGUUGUUAAAACGUGGAGCUUAACUCCAUAUCGGCAAUGGAAACUGGUUAGCUAGAGUAUGGUAGGGGUAACAGGAAUCCCCAGUGUAGCGGUGAAAUGCGUAGAUAUUGGGAAGAACACCAGCGGCGAAAGCGUGUUACUGGGCCAUUACUGACACUGAGGGACGAAAGCUAGGGGAGCGAAAGGGAUUAGAUACCCCUGUAGUCCUAGCCGUAAACGAUGAGAACUAGGUGUUGCGCGUAUCGACCCGCGCGGUGCCGUAGCUAACGCGUUAAGUUCUCCGCCUGGGGAGUACGCACGCAAGUGUGAAACUCAAAGGAAUUGACGGGGGCCCGCACAAGCGGUGGAGUAUGUGGUUUAAUUCGAUGCAACGCGAAGAACCUUACCAGGGUUUGACAUCCUCGGAACUUUCUGGAAACAGAUUGGUGCCUUCGGGAACCGAGAGACAGGUGGUGCAUGGCUGUCGUCAGCUCGUGUCGUGAGAUGUUGGGUUAAGUCCCGCAACGAGCGCAACCCACGUUUUUAGUUGCCAGCAUUAAGUUGGGCACUCUAGAGAGACUGCCGGUGACAAACCGGAGGAAGAUGUGGAUGACGUCAAGUCAGCAUGCCCCUUACAUCCUGGGCUACACACGUACUACAAUGCUACGGACAAAGGGCAGCGAGCCAGCAAUGGUCUGCGAAUCCCAUAAACCGUAGCUCAGUUCAGAUUGCAGGCUGCAACUCGCCUGCAUGAAGGCGGAAUCGCUAGUAAUCGCAGGUCAGCAUACUGCGGUGAAUACGUUCCCGGGCCUUGUACACACCGCCCGUCACACCAUGGGAGUUGGUCACGCCCGAAGUGGUUACCCUAACCGUAAGGAGGGGGACCCCUAAGGCAGGGCUGAUGMCUGGGGGUGAAGUCGUAACAAGGUAGCCGUACCGGAAGGUGUGGCUGGAUCACCUCCUUUUAGGGAGACCUUACCCUCUUAUUUCGAAAGUUAUCUUCGGAUGACUUCAAAGUAGAAUUUUAGGGAGACCUUACCCUCUUAUUUCGAAAGUUAUCUUCGGAUGACUUCAAAGUAGAAAUAAGACAGGUCAUCUCAAGGUCGUUCAGGAUUGAUAGUGUUGGCUUUCGAACUUAUUGUCUGGUCUUAUUUGAGACCAAUAUGGGCUAUUAGCUCAGGUGGUUAGAGCGCACCCCUGAUAAGGGUGAGGUCCCUGGUUCGAGUCCAGGAUGGCCCACCUCCAAUCAUAUGGGGGUUUAGCUCAGUUGGUAGAGCGCCUGCUUUGCAAGCAGGAUGUCAGCGGUUCGAGUCCGCUAACCUCCACUGAUUUAGAUUCAGCAACUGUUCUAGUUUUAGACUAGAUAGCCUGCUGGAUGAUAAAUCCAGUCAGAACCAAGAAAACUGCAUAAGAGAUUAGGUAGGUAGUGACAUUUGUUGCAUUCAUCCGCGCAGCCUGUGUGAGUUGAAUGUAGAUAAAUGAUUCACAGACACCAAUGUGAUUAGAAGUGAUUAACUGGAUUACAGUUAUCAGUUUCUGAAACGUUUUUCGUAAUGUUGAGGGAAAUGAUAGCGAGGUCAAGUAUCAAGUCCUGGCC